Albula goreensis is the source of this 78-nucleotide non-coding RNA. The record is from the annotation of a GenBank genome assembly. NCBI's taxonomy places the organism in Eukaryota, Metazoa, Chordata, Actinopteri, Albuliformes, Albulidae.
GGCAGCCUGUCUAGUGGUUAAGGCGCAUGACUGGGACCCCUGAGGUUGGUGGUUCGAGCCCCGGUCCAACUGCUGCAA